CAGUAGCCGCGGGAAAACGUAGGUGGCAAGCGUUGUCCGGAAUUAUUGGGCGUAAAGGGCUCGCAGGCGGUUUCUUAAGUCUGAUGUGAAAGCCCCCGGCUCGACCGGGGAGGGUCAUUGGAAACUGGGAAACUUGAGUGCAGAAGAGGAGAGUGGAAUUCCACGUGUAGCGGUGAAAUGCGUAGAGAUGUGGAGGAACACCAGUGGCGAAGGCGACUCUCUGGUCUGUAACUGACGCUGAGGAGCGAAAGCGUGGGGAGCGAACAGGAUUAGAUACCCGGGUAGUCCCUGUCUCUUAUAC
RNAcentral lists this ribosomal RNA (301 nucleotides) under uncultured bacterium. RNAcentral's name for it is "partial 16S ribosomal RNA". It matches the Rfam family "Bacterial small subunit ribosomal RNA", at positions 509 to 807 of the family's 1533-position model. The record is from RNAcentral.